Long non-coding RNA from Triticum aestivum (bread wheat), 2170 nucleotides. RefSeq lists it as uncharacterized. The record is from RefSeq and is a predicted model, not a curated record. The transcript has 7 exons. NCBI's taxonomy places the organism in Eukaryota, Viridiplantae, Streptophyta, Magnoliopsida, Poales, Poaceae.
UCGCUCCCAGACCUAGCUCACUCACGAACAUUCUCCCCCAAAUCUCAGCCCCCAACCUAGCUCUCUCUCCAUCGGCCGGCGGCUGGCUGCUCCCUGAAUCCCUCGCCGUCGGCUGCGCCCCCAAAUCCCUCGCCUAUUCCAUUCUCUCGUUCGCCCCCUCCGCCCCCAAAUCCCUCGCCUCUUCCAUCCUCUCGUCCGUCCCCUCCGCCUGAUUCACUGGUCAGUAGCCCAAUGACCGCUACCUCCGAAGUGUUGCCGGCAAAGCUUCCCGCGGCUUCCAGAAGAGGGUCGUCGUCAACGACCCCGUGGCCGCCGUCACUCGACCACUGCAUCCGUCCCUGAGCGGCGCCCUUUCCAAUCCAGGUUACAGGACUUCUGAAGUUAUUUCACUUGUUGACGAGAAAGAAAACAUAGUUAAACUGCUGAUUGUCAAGGAUUAGAUCUUGGAUUUGCUAGUGGAUUUUGGGAGUUUCUUAGCCUGCUUGGUGACUCCAUAUUUUUCACUAUUUCAACAAGUCUUUGAAUUUGUUAAAUGGUAGAUCAUGCAUGGAUGUAUAAUGGUUGGCAGUAUGGUCAAAUUCCCUCUAACCUAUGGCUUGAACAAACCAACCGAUUUCUAGAGCAUGCAUUCUCCUUUCCCGGCGUAGCCGAAGGUGGUAAAAUCAGGUGUCCAUGUGCCAAGUGUCGUAAUUAUAAUAAGCACGGUAGGGAUGAGGUAGAGAAACACUUGUAUAAAUACGGGUUCAGGGAAAACUAUGAAACGUGGAUAGAACAUGGUGAGAAGUAUGUUCCUAGCCAACAGGGAUCUUCCUCUGCCACAAACUGUGCGAGGCAUGAUGAAAUUUUUCCAGGCGUAGCCAAAGGUGGUAAUUCCUGAUAAAACUAAAGAUAAUGUGAAGGCAAGAAAAGAUCUAGCUGAAAUUUGCAACCAUCCUUCGAUGCACUUGAAAUUGAAGGACAAUGGGAAGUGGGAGAAGCCAAGAGCACCUUUUGUCAUCGAUAAGAAGGAUGUGAUAACCAUUCUGAAAUGGUUCCAAGAGCUGAAGUUCCCCGAUGGGUAUGCAUCAAGCUUUAGACGGGGAUUUAGCCUACUACACAGAAAGAUUUUUGGCUUCAAAAGUCAUGAUUACCAUAUCUUCAUGGAACGCCUACUUCCUGUUGCAUUUCGUGGCUUCCUUCCAGAGGACAUAUGGAAGUGUCUAGCAGAGCUAAGUUAUUUCUAUAGGCAGCUAUGUGCAAAAGAACUUAGCAAGGAUACCAUACGUUCACUUGAGGAGAAUGUUGUUGUUCUUGUAUGCAAAUUGGAGAAGAUAUUCCCUCCUGGUUUCUUCAAUCCCAUGCAACAUUUAAUCAUACAUCUUCCAUACCAAGCUCGGCUAGGAGGUCCUGUAUUAGCUCGAUGGAUGUACAUCUAUGAAAGGAUGAUUACUGUGAUUUGGCUAGAGCCACACAUCCUGAUGAUUGGGAGGAGCGAGAGUUAGAUGGGCAAAUGUUAUAUGAGUCAUCAAGUGGCAUUCCUCAUGGGCGACUAGCAAUAGCGGAUGGAGCAAUUAAGAAGGCUGAUGUUAUCUCAAUAGCUAGAGAGAAGAAACUGAGGCCGUUAUCUUCAACAUCAUUUCGGCGAACUAUUCAAAAAAACGAAGAACUGAAGCGAUGAGAUAUUCAAGAAAACGAAGAACUGAAGCGACGUAAUGUGAACCUUCAAAAGAUAGUGGAUAUGCAUGGAAGACUUUUCUUGGCCCUUUUUAAGGAGAUGGGAAAAGAACUACCAGAGGAGCUACGCCAAGGAGAAAGUUUCCAACCACAUGGGGGCACUAAUUCAUCUCAAAUUGGAACCCAAGCACUUGAUGACAACACCGGUGAUGGUGAUUUGGGUGGGACUUUUGGCGGUGACAACUCCAAUGGGAAUAUUGGCGACAUGGCUAUUGGUGCAACUAACCUUCACUCCAAUUGAACAAUUUUGGAGCUAAUGGUGGUGUUGGUAACAGAGUAGCAUUUUGGAAGUUGCAAUAGACACUAGGGGCAGGUUAUCUACUUCUGUGAAGUAUGUUGUAUUUUGUUUGUAAUGCACUGGAGCUUAUCCUUGAAACUUGCAAGUUGAACAAUUUAUCUUUUGUUGUCGAGAACAGUUAUGUACUUAGAUGUGCAAAACUAAAUCUUAUCAGUCCAA